UGAGGGCAGUCAGUGGGCCUGGGGGAUGCUUGGCUUAGGGAGGGGGCUUAGCUCUAGUUUUCUCUAUCCCUCUCUCCUCCCAGAGACCAUAUCAUCUUAUUCCCUCAGACACAGUUUGCUAAGAAAGCCAAAGAAGGGAAUUAACAUGAAAAAGAGAAUUAUAGGCAAACAGAGACUUGGAUCUGAAGUCAUCCAGUCUGGGACACUUCUAAGAGCAAAAGAUGGCCUCCCAGGCCAGAUCCCAACCACUGAGGAGAGGAAAUAUCCUGAGGAGGAAGAACAUUUUGAGGGGGCACAGAGAAGUGGUCCCUGCCAUGCGUUCUGAGGACCACUAGUUCCCUGAGAUGCUUCCA
This is a long non-coding RNA of Lagenorhynchus albirostris (white-beaked dolphin), 353 nucleotides long. RefSeq lists it as uncharacterized. The transcript is spliced from 3 exons. Lineage: Eukaryota; Metazoa; Chordata; Mammalia; Artiodactyla; Delphinidae. The record is from RefSeq and is a predicted model, not a curated record.